Molecule: ribosomal RNA, 323 nt
Filed under: uncultured Pseudomonadota bacterium
Lineage: Bacteria; Pseudomonadati; Pseudomonadota
Description: bacterial SSU rRNA
Rfam family: Bacterial small subunit ribosomal RNA
Source: RNAcentral
AUUGAACGCUGGCGGCAUGCUUUACACAUGCAAGUCGAACGGCAGCACGAGUGCUUGCACUUGGUGGCGAGUGGCGGACGGGUGAGUAAUGCAUCGGAACGUGUCCUGAAGUGGGGGAUAACGCAUCGAAAGAUGUGCUAAUACCGCAUAUUCUCUGAGGAGGAAAGUAGGGGAUCGAAAGACCUUAUGCUUUUGGAGCGGCCGAUGUCUGAUUAGCUAGUUGGUGAGGUAAAGGCUUACCAAGGCGACGAUCUGUAGCGGGUCUGAGAGGAUGAUCCGCCACACUGGAACUGAGACACGGUCCAGACACCUACGGGUGGCAG